CCUACGGGUGGCAGCAGUGAGGAAUAUUGGUCAAUGGGCGCGAGCCUGAACCAGCCAAGUCGCGUGAGGGAGGAAGGUCCAGUGUAUUGUAAACCUCUUUUGUCAGGGAACAAAGACCGCCACGCGUGGCCUUCCGAGAGUACCCGAAGAAAAAGCAUCGGCUAACUCCGUGCCAGCAGCCGCGGUAAUACGGAGGAUGCGAGCGUUAUCCGGAUUUCUUGGGUUUAAAGGGUGCGCAGGCGGGAGAUCAAGUCAGCGGUAAAAUUGAGAGGCUCAACCUCGUCGAACCGUUGAAACUGGCUUUCUCGAGUGAGUGAGAAGUAUGCGGAAUGCGCGGUGUAGCGGUGAAAUGCAUAGAUAUCACGCAGAACUCAGAUUGCGAAGGCAGCAUACCGGCGCUCAACUGACGCUGAGGCACGAAAGUGUGGGUAUCGAACAGGAUUAGAUACCCCGGUAGUC
This 459-nucleotide ribosomal RNA is filed under the name uncultured bacterium. Its description in RNAcentral is "partial 16S ribosomal RNA". It matches the Rfam family "Bacterial small subunit ribosomal RNA", at positions 338 to 795 of the family's 1533-position model. The record is from RNAcentral.